Phragmites australis (common reed) is the source of this 2579-nucleotide RNA transcript. It is a transcript of the gene named F-box protein FBW2-like, with no coding region annotated. The transcript is spliced from 5 exons. Lineage: Eukaryota; Viridiplantae; Streptophyta; Magnoliopsida; Poales; Poaceae. The record is from RefSeq and is a predicted model, not a curated record.
CACCUGCAUCCACACUGCGCGCCCCUCCGUUUUUUCUCCUCCUCCCGAACACGCGCACACACGAAAGCUAGCCUUCUUCAGUCUUCUACCGACCGACCAUUCUCCCUCUCGAUUCUCUCUCCAGCCAUUCCCCCCCUCCAUCAGGUGUUACCUCCUGCAGAUCCAAAUUGGAAUUUGGGCCUUGGCCUCCACAUCACCAAUCUGGUUGCCUUCUUUGGGUUUGCCCGCAGCACACGCAAGCCAUUUCACUGCUAGGAGGCUGCUUGGCAUCUCCGGCUCUUGAGUGAUCUCCAAGGUAAGCAGCAGCCCCCACUCCCUGGGAAGAAAUAGAAAUAAAGAAGUUUCGGCUCUUGGUUGGAGCAAGGAAUUGAGUUCUUUGCACUCCUCCAUGGCUUCUGAGUGGAAAAUAUUUGAGCUUGCUGGGAAAAAAUCCAUCCUUUUCCAUGGGAGUGGAGUGAUGGGGGAGUGCGAGGACGCCGGGGAGUACAGGUGCUGGGAGGAGCUGUUACCGGACGCGCUGGGCCUCAUCUUCCGCAACCUGCCGCUCCAAGAGGUGCUCACCGUCCUGCCGCGGGUGUGCAAGUCAUGGGGGCGGGUGGUCGCCGGCCCCUACUGCUGGCAGGAGAUCGACAUCGAGGAGUGGAGCCAGCAGCAGAGCAAGCCGGAGCAGAUCCGCCGCAUGGUUGAGCUGCUCGUCGGCCGCAGCGGCGGCUCAUGCCGCCGCAUCAGCGUCUCUGGGCUGCCCUGCGACCCACUCUUCUCGCUCAUCGGAGACCAUGCCCGAGCUCUUCAGACCUUAGAGAUUCCAAGGAGCGAGAUCAGCGACUCCAUAGUGGAGACCGUCGCGCCGCGGCUAUCCAACGUCACUUUCCUAGACGUCAGCAGCUGCACAAAGAUCGGAGCUCGCGCCCUGGAGGCGUUCGGCAAGCACUGUAAAUCCCUGGUCGGGCUCCGGCGGGUCAUGCACCCCAUCGACCUCGCCGACAAGGUGUGCCAGCACGACGAGGCGCACGCCAUCGCCUGCAGCAUGCCCAAGCUCCGGCACCUGGAGAUGGGGUACAUGCUGAUCACGACGGAGGCGGUGCUGGAGAUCCUCGCCCAGUGCCGCGACCUCAAGUUCCUGGACCUGCGCGGCUGCUGGACCGUGGACGACAAGUUCUUGCGGGACAGGCACCCGGGGCUGCGCGUCCUUGGGCCUCGCGUGGACGACUGCUACGAGAACAGCUACUGGGAGGAGUGCUCCGAUUACUCGGACUCGUCCAUCUACUCGUGGGAGUUCAUGGAAGACGUCGACGACUACUACGCCAUCGGCAGCGACGACGAGGCCAUCUGGGACGACGGCCAGGGUUUGGAAAACCUGGAGGUCAGGUUCUACGGCGGUGGGUUCAGUGAGGGCUAUGCUGGUUUCGAUUGGCCACCGUCACCAUGAGAGAGCUGUGUUCACCCUGACAAAAUCCCAGCCUGCUCUUGCUGCUAUUGUGUGUGUUCGUGUGACUUGUGUGUGUUGUUCCUAAGCUUGCAGAUAUGUUGCUGUACUGUGUCAUCACUCAAUCUCCCUCUACCUUGCAGAUAUGUGAAGUGAACUGCUAAUUGUACGAUCUAGAUGUAAACUUUGGUGUUUACAUGAAGCAAAUCAACAUGCAUCGCUCUAUCAACGUGAGCUGGUACGAUGCAAAGAUGGUGUGGCUUCUGUCUGCAGUCUCAUCUAUUGGACAAGAUGCUCAUGCAGCAGACGUGGCCUGCUCUGCAAGGGACGCAGCAGUGGAGAAAAGCACCUGCUUUGAUGCAUGCAACAUGGCAGGGGAGCGGGGAGCCCUCGGGCACACGCAAACAGCUAAAAGCUACACCGCUUUUAGGCCGGACCACUGUGGCCGCUGGCGCCUGCAGGCUGCCUGAUCCUAAGAUUUUGCCCCAAAAUCAUGUAAUAAAGCAGGAUCUUUUUCUCAGAAUCGGUGGGAAUCAAUCGAUGGCGUCCGUGGCUGGCAAGUCGAUUGUCUCUUGCAAGACAAGUUAGCCCCGGCCUCUCCCUGCCUCUGCCGCCUGCAUGCGUCUCUGCAAGCUUUGGCUCUGGACGCGAGAUUCUGCCGGCUUUUCCCAAUUCCCAGACGAGCAGGAGGCAGGAGCAGCCUAUUGUAUCUACCUUGAGGUAUGGUCAGGUCUGAAUGGAUCCCUCUGGCAAAAUAUUUGAUGCUUCCUGGGUGGAUUCUGUACUAGUAGUACUAAUCUUGAGAGAGAUCAUUGGAUCAGGAUUGCCUAUUUGACAUCAAGCUGCUGCUGCUAUAUCAAGUAUGAUGCUUUAGCGAGUCAGGAACCAGUGGAUCAAGAAUGCUUCUUUUGGCCUCAAAGAUUCAGAAGACAAAAGAUGAAAAGAAGAGAAAAAUUUCCAAACUUUUUGUGAAGAUUGACCUUGUUCGCCGCUCUUCUGUACCCCUAUUUUCUGUUUCUUCCGAGAAUCAUUUUGCCAUUUUAGGUUCAGCUCCAUUAGGUACGAGGGUGUUUAGAAUUCCUUUUCCCCCUCUAUGUACAAGUAGUACUUGGCGAAUACUGUUACAUUUUUGCUGUGGACUGUGGUUGAGAUC